AACGCUGGCGGCGUGCCUAAUACAUGCAAGUCGAACGAACUCUGGUAUUGAUUGGUGCUUGCAUCAUGAUUUACAUUUGAGUGAGUGGCGAACUGGUGAGUAACACGUGGGAAACCUGCCCAGAAGCGGGGGAUAACACCUGGAAACAGAUGCUAAUACCGCAUAACAACUUGGACCGCAUGGUCCGAGCUUGAAAGAUGGCUUCGGCUAUCACUUUUGGAUGGUCCCGCGGCGUAUUAGCUAGAUGGUGGGGUAACGGCUCACCAUGGCAAUGAUACGUAGCCGACCUGAGAGGGUAAUCGGCCACAUUGGGACUGAGACACGGCCCAAACUCCUACGGGAGGCAGCAGUAGGGAAUCUUCCACAAUGGACGAAAGUCUGAUGGAGCAACGCCGCGUGAGUGAAGAAGGGUUUCGGCUCGUAAAACUCUGUUGUUAAAGAAGAACAUAUCUGAGAGUAACUGUCCAGGUAUUGCCGGUAUUUAACCAGAAAGCCACGGCUAACUA
This 506-nucleotide ribosomal RNA is filed under the name Lactiplantibacillus plantarum. RNAcentral describes it as "bacterial SSU rRNA". It matches the Rfam family "Bacterial small subunit ribosomal RNA", at positions 32 to 503 of the family's 1533-position model. The record is from RNAcentral. Lineage: Bacteria; Bacillati; Bacillota; Bacilli; Lactobacillales; Lactobacillaceae.